This 735-nucleotide ribosomal RNA is filed under the name Bacillus sp. HQ-2-6. RNAcentral describes it as "bacterial SSU rRNA". It matches the Rfam family "Bacterial small subunit ribosomal RNA", at positions 35 to 753 of the family's 1533-position model. Lineage: Bacteria; Bacillati; Bacillota; Bacilli; Caryophanales; Bacillaceae. The record is from RNAcentral.
GUCAGCAAGCGCGUGCUAACAUGCAGUCGAGCGAUGGAUGGGAGCUUGCUCCCUGAAGUUAGCGGCGGACGGGUGAGUAACACGUGGGCAACCUACCUACAAGAUUGGGAUAACUUCGGGAAACCGGAGCUAAUACCGGGUAAUACAUUGGAUCGCAUGGUCUGAUGUUGAAAGAUGGCUUCGGCUAUCACUUGUAGAUGGGCCCGCGGCGCAUUAGCUAGUUGGUGAGGUAACGGCUCACCAAGGCAACGAUGCGUAGCCGACCUGAGAGGGUGAUCGGCCACACUGGGACUGAGACACGGCCCAGACUCCUACGGGAGGCAGCAGUAGGGAAUCUUCCGCAAUGGACGAAAGUCUGACGGAGCAACGCCGCGUGAGUGAUGAAGGCCUUCGGGUCGUAAAGCUCUGUUGUUAGGGAAGAACAAGUACCGUUUGAAUAAGGCGGUACCUUGACGGUACCUAACCAGAAAGCCACGGCUAACUACGUGCCAGCAGCCGCGGUAAUACGUAGGUGGCAAGCGUUAUCCGGAAUUAUUGGGCGUAAAGCGCGCGCAGGCGGUUCCUUAAGUCUGAUGUGAAAGCCCACGGCUCAACCGUGGAGGGUCAUUGGAAACUGGGGAACUUGAGUGCAGAAGAGAAGAGCGGAAUUCCACGUGUAGCGGUGAAAUGCGUAGAGAUGGUGGAGGAACACCAGUGGCGAAGGCGGCUCUUUGGUCUGUAACUGACGCUGAGGCG